Molecule: ribosomal RNA, 253 nt
Filed under: uncultured bacterium
Lineage: Bacteria
Description: partial 16S ribosomal RNA
Rfam family: Bacterial small subunit ribosomal RNA
Source: RNAcentral
UACGUAGGGUGCAAGCGUUGUCCGGAAUUAUUGGGCGUAAAGGGCUCGUAGGCGGUCUGUCGCGUCGGGAGUGAAAACUCGGGGCUUAACCCCGAGCCUGCUUCCGAUACGGGCAGACUAGAGGUAUGCAGGGGAGAAUGGAAUUCCUGGUGUAGCGGUGAAAUGCGCAGAUAUCAGGAGGAACACCGGUGGCGAAGGCGGUUCUCUGGGACGGUACUGACGCUGAGACGCGAAAGCGUGGGGAGCAAACAGG